RNAcentral lists this ribosomal RNA (515 nucleotides) under uncultured bacterium. RNAcentral describes it as "partial 16S ribosomal RNA". It matches the Rfam family "Bacterial small subunit ribosomal RNA", at positions 28 to 523 of the family's 1533-position model. The record is from RNAcentral.
GAUGAACGCUGGCGGCGUGCCUAAUACAUGCAAGUCGAGCGAAUGGAUUAAGAGCUUGCUCUUAUGAAGUUAGCGGCGGACGGGUGAGUAACACGUGGGUAACCUGCCCAUAAGACUGGGAUAACUCCGGGAAACCGGGGCUAAUACCGGAUAACAUUUUGAACCGCAUGGUUCGAAAUUGAAAGGCGGCUUCGGCUGUCACUUAUGGAUGGACCCGCGUCGCAUUAGCUAGUUGGUGAGGUAACGGCUCACCAAGGCAACGAUGCGUAGCCGACCUGGAAGGGUGAUCGGCCACACUGGGACUGAGACACGGCCCAGACUCCUACGGGAGGUAGCAGUAGGGAAUCUUCAGCAAUGGACGAAAGUCUGACGGAGCAACGCCGCGUGAGUGAUGAAGGCUUUCGGGUCGUAAAACUCUGUUGUUAGGGAAGAACAAGUGCUAGUUGAAUAAGCUGGCACCUUGACGGUACCUAACCAGAAAGCCACGGCUAACUACGUGCCAGCAGCCGCAGUAA